GAGUCACGUGACUGCGGCUCCCCGCCCUCUCACCCCGCUGCCUCUAGGUUCUGGGAAGAUGGCGAAGGUCUCAGAGCUUUACGAUGUCACUUGGGAAGAAAUGCGAGAUAAAAUGAGAAAAUGGAGAGAAGAAAACUCACGAAAUAGUGAGCAAAUUGUGGAAGUUGGAGAAGAAUUAAUUAAUGAAUAUGCUUCUAAGCUUGGAGAUGAUAUUUGGAUCAUAUAUGAACAGGUGAUGAUUGCUGCACUAGACUAUGGUCGGGAUGACUUGGCAUUGCUCUUAUUUUUUCAGUUUUGUCUUCAAGAGCUAAGAAGACAGUUCCCUGGCAGUCACAGAGUCAAGCGAUUAACAGGCAUGAGAUUUGAAGCCAUGGAAAGAUAUGAUGAUGCUAUACAGCUAUAUGAUAGGAUUUUACAAGAAGAUCCAACUAACACUGCUGCAAGAAAGCGUAAGAUUGCCAUUCGAAAAGCCCAGGGGAAAAAUGUGGAGGCCAUUCGGGAACUGAAUGAGUAUCUGGAACAAUUUGUUGGAGACCAAGAAGCCUGGCAUGAACUUGCAGAACUUUAUAUCAAUGAACAUGACUAUGCAAAAGCAGCCUUUUGUUUAGAGGAACUAAUGAUGACUAAUCCACACAACCACUUAUACUGUCAGCAGUAUGCUGAAGUUAAAUAUACCCAAGGUGGACUUGAAAACCUCGAACUUUCAAGAAAGUAUUUUGCACAGGCAUUGAAACUGAACAACAGAAAUAUGAGAGCUUUGUUUGGGCUUUAUAUGUCGGCAAGUCAUAUUGCUUCUAAUCCAAAAGCAAGUGCAAAAACGAAAAAGGACAACAUGAAAUAUGCUAGUUGGGCAGCUAGUCAAAUAAACAGAGCUUAUCAGAGCUGGACAUAAAGAGUAAGAAAACCAUAUUUAGGAGAGUGAUGGAGAAGACCAACAGAAGGAAACAAGUUUGAGUAUUGAUCAAUAUAGAACAAGCCUAUGCUUCACAGCAAACAAACCUCUAGAUCUCUUUGGCUUAAAUCAGUGCACCCAGGUGACUCUCUAGGAAAGUGUCUUCCAUAUAUUAAUUUGACCAUUGAGGCUACUUGGGUCCUGUGACUUCAUUGUCUCUUCACAACAGUAAGACACCUUGGUAGAAGAAUAGAGUGAAUGGAGGGUUCAUAACCUUCAAAUCCUACUGGUCAGAGGCCGAGAAUAGCAGUCAGUAUUGCCAUUGAGAACAUAACUAGAUUUGUCUAAAUUUUGAGGAGGAGAGUCAAUCAUGGGAAAGAACGUGAAGUCUGAGAGAAAACUAACAUUUACUGGGUACCUUCUGCAGAAGUUCCAAAACCAUUUUGAUUUACAGCACUAAAUAUUUCAGUAUUUUUUUCAAUGGAUUCCUAGGCCAAAAUAACUAACAGUGCCAUGAGUUGAGUGAUUAGGUCCAAACAAGUUAAAAUGUAUUUAUACACUAACAACAGAGUAGCUGUUUGAACAUAGUAGUACACAUACAUUGAAAGAAAGACAAUUUUUAUUUCAGCCUUAACUAUAGAUAACUUACUUACUAAUGAGAUAUGUGGGUUUCUUGGGCACUGUGUACCUCUCAGACCUUGGAAUCAUAUUGGAUCCACCACCUUCAUUUCCUGUUCCAAACUGAUUUUCAUGUUUACUGGCGUUUUAUCUAGCCACCACCAAAACUUAGCUCAGCAGAGAUAUGACAUCAAUGAAAGAAAUGUAAUAUGAUCUAAUGUUGAAACUGUAAACUACCUUGAGCUAGCAGGUCACACAGUGGCUGACAGGUUUUGAGUAUUGCUAUAUUUUCCUCAACAUUUUAGAAUAUCCCAUGGCUCUCAUGUAAGUAUGCUGCAGUGCCCUCGGGGGCUUCAGUGCAUGGUUUGGGAACCAUACAUCUGUUGGCUUAGGUACUAUAUAUAAAUCACCUACUUCUUAACGACAGUUUGGAAGGUAGGUGCUAUGAUUUUCAAGUUGGAUGUGGAAACUCAAGUUUGAAAGAGGAUAUGCAUUCUACCCUAAACCUCCUAGUUAGUAAUUAACAGAGCAGAGGCUUGAACCCAAACCUUCUGGCUUUAAACCCCGUCGCAUCAUGCCCUGUGUCAUGAGAUUUGCAGGAUUAAGGUUUUCACAGCUUCCUCUCCCCAUGACCUUUCCCUGGUUUCAAGCAACAUUGAAAUUACUAUUUUUUAAAACAUGUGGAAAUGCUUGAAACUCAUGGAACUGAUUUUAAGUCAUGUCUCCUUUUUUAGCUAUAAGGCACACCUGCUAGAAAAUAAAUUUUCCUGAGCAGAGAUUAAAGAACUUUACAAUGGCCUUAAAAUGGCCCCAGGAAAGAUUGCUUAAGGUUUGAAAUCAAGACAGUAAAUUUAUAAUUAACUUGUAAUUAUUUUACUGCUAAUUUUUAAUGUGACAUUUAGUAAGAACCACAUAUCACUUUUCUCCAGCUGUUAGGACAGUUCUUAUAAACUAAACCUUCUUCACCAGCUGUUGCCUAAUUCAGUAUGGUCCAUGUUGGAAUUUUUCCAGCUCUGCCUGAACAUUAUUACUAAGUCUCAGCAGACCCAUGCAAAAGUGAGCCAUAACUGUAAUCUUUCAUGUUACUCAUUGUUCUAUUUAAUUAUCUGAAAUACUACCUGAUAAAUAGUGCAAUCAGAAGAAUUUCAGUUUAACAGUAACUACUUCCACAUCACUUUUCUGCUGUCAUCUAAUUUGAAACAGGUUUUGGAUUACUACCUUUGAAUUAUGUAAACUCCCAAUCAACGAUUAAGAAUCUUUGAGCUGCUGGUUUGUGUAUGUGUGUGGUUCUUAUGUGUCAGUAAAUUCGGCCCUAGUAAAAUGCACUUUUUUUUCUUCACUAGACUUUUUAAGCCCUUCUUUUCUCCUAAGCUUGUUGAAGGGAUAAGGAAUGAGUAGCUGGAACCAAGGAAGACUAAAUCCUUACAAAAGAAAUUUGUUUUCAAAGCAAUGUCACUUCACAUAGAAAUAAAAGAAUAUUUGCAUUAAAUGCCCCUAACACAGAUUAUAAUUCAGAGAAACAUCUGAGUAGCGGAAAAACUGUUCUCUACUUAAGAACAAAUUCAUCAGCAAAUGGAAAUAGACUAACAUUUAUUAAGCACCCUGUAAUUGCCAGGCAUUUUACAUCUAUUAUUUUGUUUGAACCUAAAUAUAACAUUGGGAGCUCAAUUUUAUGACCUUCAUUUUGCAGAGGAGGAAACUGAAGGCUGAGAGAUUUAAGAACUCUUCCAAGUUUAUAAGUGAAUAAAUGUUAGUGCUUGCAUUCAAAGUCAGGUGGGUCUCACUUUACAGUCAUGGCUUUUGCCUACAGAACUGUGCUACCUUCAGAUCACUUAUAUUUUAUAAUGGUAAUUGUAUAUAAAAACAUAUUUUUUAUUUAUCAAAUAUUUAUUUGGUAAAUAAAAUGUGACCAGCACAUUUCUAGGAGUGAAUUAAUGGCAAUUAUGAUUAUUGACAUUUAUUAAAGCUGUAUAACUUACAUGUAUUUUCUAAAAGUUAGUGAUUUAUUUUCAGCCUUUCUGUUAUUUUGCAUUAGGGAUCUCAGAAGAUCCCAGGGUAUUGGUAAGGAUCUACAAUAUUGAAAAAAUUUUGGACUGGAUCCCAGGAGACCUGUGUUUGCCUCUUUCACUUGCUACCUCUGUGAUCAAACGAAUCAGUUUCUAAAUCCGUGGCUCAGUUUCUUUAUUUGUAUAAUAAAAGGAUUGGAAUAUAUAAUCUCUGAGAUUCUUCUGAGUACUACAAUUCUGACUUUACUAAACACAUUCAACUUUUAUAGGUCAUUCCCAACAAUCCAUAUGAGUACACUGAAAUGGUGGUGGUGUAUAUAAUUCAGAGCUGAACGAAACACCUUCAGAUUUGGCCUUGGAAAGUAUAAAUGAGGAAUCAUAACUAUUGUUCAACUCACUGGAAUUUGGUAAAAAUUGGAAGAGUUUACAUCUCAUAGUAAUCUACAAUUCAAUAAAUGU
Sapajus apella (tufted capuchin) is the source of this 3975-nucleotide RNA transcript. It is a transcript of the gene named ER membrane protein complex subunit 2, with no coding region annotated. NCBI's taxonomy places the organism in Eukaryota, Metazoa, Chordata, Mammalia, Primates, Cebidae. The record is from RefSeq and is a predicted model, not a curated record. The transcript has 13 exons.